GGCCUUACCUACCCUUGACAUGGAUGGAAUCCCGAAGAGAUUUGGGAGUGCUCGAAAGAGAACCAUCACACAGGUGCUGCAUGGCUGUCGUCAGCUCGUGUCGUGAGAUGUUGGGUUAAGUCCCGCAACGAGCGCAACCCUUGUCAUUAGUUGCUACGAAAGGGCACUCUAAUGAGACUGCCGGUGACAAACCGGAGGAAGGUGGGGAUGACGUCAAGUCCUCAUGGCCCUUAUGGGUAGGGCUUCACACGUCAUACAAUGGUACAUACAGAGGGCCGCCAACCCGCGAGGGGGAGCUAAUCCCAGAAAGUGUAUCGUAGUCCGGAUUGGAGUCUGCAACUCGACUCCAUGAAGUUGGAAUCGCUAGUAAUCGC
This 374-nucleotide ribosomal RNA is filed under the name Herbaspirillum sp. 67R. Its description in RNAcentral is "bacterial SSU rRNA". It matches the Rfam family "Bacterial small subunit ribosomal RNA", at positions 966 to 1345 of the family's 1533-position model. The record is from RNAcentral. Lineage: Bacteria; Pseudomonadati; Pseudomonadota; Betaproteobacteria; Burkholderiales; Oxalobacteraceae.